GGUGUCGAAUUGACAGCCCCACCGUUGCAGUUCAGGCUAAGAAAACCAAGUAGCUCCUCUGUAGUCUGUUUCUCUGCUGCUACAUUAAAGUAAACAGUUUUGACCGCCCAGGCACCUUCUUUUGUAACAAGACCAGUUUCUGUAACUGCAGUAUGGGUGACUAACCUGUGUCGGAUGUGUGGAGUAACCAUUGAAGCAGUGUCCUUUUUAAAAAGGCACUACAUAAAAGAGCAUAUGCACUGCUUUAGCUAUUGUGCCUUACGUGGGUACAUAUUUAAAUCUAGACGGCACUCAUCUGUUACUCAAGUAUUAAUGUUUUCCAUCUUUAUCAGCUGUCUGGCACUUGCUUCUCUAACCACUUGCUUUGUUGCAUGUUACUCUCCUUGACCACAAAAGAUCUGAAGUUUAAUUAACAUCUUUUCUUAUGAUUCCUCAUGAUUCUAGUGACCAAUGAAAAAAUAUAUUAACACGUUUUUACUGAUGAGAUCUUUAAGGGACUUCUGCGCUACCAUUUAUGUUGAUCAGUUUAUGAAAUAAAGAUUAUCACAAUAUAUUUUGAUUGUAGCACUUUUCAGCUAUCAGUAGACCUGUACUGGUGGCAUAUUAUGAAGUGUAGAUAAAUAGUUUAUUUAAAAGUGGGUUGCUCUGAGAGGGCCUUGCCUUUUUUUUUUUUUUUUUUUUUUUUUUUUGUUGUUGUUGUUGUGGUAAUGUUUAAGAGGCCUUAGCUGAGUUGUGUGCAAUAAUCACUGUCGGUUGUUAAGGGUGCAUAUCGAUUGGCUCGAACAUCUCUCUCCUUAACUAAAACUUUGUUUUGACCUCUUAUAACAUAGGUCUGUGAAAUUUUCUAAAGAAUUAGAUAUUAAUGUGUGCUCAUUCUAAAGCUACAUUUUUCAAGAAUCACCGAAUUUUAGGGUUUUUAGGUGUACAUUGGUCAUACAGGUUGUUUUUUUUUUUUUUUUUUUCCAUGAUGAUGAUGAUUGUUUAAAAUGUUUUAUCUUUUAUCACAAAACCCUUUUGGUUUUGUAUAAAAAUGCCACAAAUGGCAGUGUUACUCAUUUAACUUAAUCCCUGGGUUCUGUUAAUUCCUCUGCUUUUCACAUACCAGACUAAAAAUGUGUCUGCAAAUGGAUGUUUUUCAACCUUGAGUCAACAUGUGGCACAUAUUAUUUCAUUGCUAAAUGGAUGUAGUUUUUGGAGUGUUUCACAUAUCCUAGCAGAACCCCAAAGGAACAACUGAAAGCUUAUUCUUCUACAAGAUCAUUUAUAUAUGACUGUUGUCCUAUAUGUGUAGUGUGGGCUUUGUUUCAUGUGUCAAGGUGCUGGUCUCUGAGGGUGGAAAUCUGUACAUAUAAAGGAAAGUGCACAAUCUAA
Molecule: long non-coding RNA, 1371 nt
Organism: Astatotilapia calliptera (eastern happy)
Lineage: Eukaryota; Metazoa; Chordata; Actinopteri; Cichliformes; Cichlidae
Source: Ensembl